UACGGAGGGUGCAAGCGUUGUUCGGAAUUACUGGGCGUAAAGCGCGUGUAGGCGGUCUCGUAAGUCGGGUGUGAAAGCCCUGGGCUCAACCCAGGAAGUGCACUCGAAACUGCGAGGCUAGAGUACUGGAGAGGUUGGUGGAAUUCUCGGUGUAGAGGUGAAAUUCGUAGAUAUCGAGAGGAACACCGGUGGCGAAGGCGGCCAACUGGACAGAUACUGACGCUGAGACUCGAAAGCGUGGGGAGCAAACAGG
This 253-nucleotide ribosomal RNA is filed under the name uncultured bacterium. Its description in RNAcentral is "partial 16S ribosomal RNA". It matches the Rfam family "Bacterial small subunit ribosomal RNA", at positions 524 to 776 of the family's 1533-position model. The record is from RNAcentral.